UCAAUAUGUUUGAUUUGUCAUUUUUAGUGUCACACAAUAAGUGGAGUCUUUGUAGAUUCAAACGUACUAAAUUUUUAGCUUGCUACUACCUCUUCUUCUAUUACCUGUUCUAACGUACUAAAUUUUUAGCUUGCUACUACCUCUUCUUCUAUUACACGUUCACUUGCUAAUACAUGUUCUACUUCUGUGCUAUUUUUUUAGUGAAGAUAGAGAAUAUGCGUGCUUGUAAGUCUCCAGCUGUGCUAUCUUGUCUUGGAUCGAUCUCCCUGUUCCGGUGGAUGCCAAGCCUCCAGCUGCAGGGUAAACUAGAUCAUUACAUGUACUGAAGCCCUGCCAUGACUCCGACCAUGUCUAGCUUGCUACUACCUCUUCUUCUAUUACCUGUUCACUUGCUAAUACAUGUUCUACUUCUGUGCUAUUUUUUUAGUGAAGACAGAUAAUAUGCGUGCUUGUAAGUCUCCAACUGUGCUAUCUUGUCUUGGAUCGAUCUCCCUGUUCUGGUGAAUGCCAAGCCUCCAGCUGCAGGGUAAACUAGAUCAUUACAUGUACUGAAGCCCUGCCAUGACUCCGACCAUGUCUCCGGCAAGGCGGCGUCUACAAUACGAGAGCACCACCCUACGUGACCUCUGCAGUGAUGAAAGGCGCAAACCAAAGGCCUCCUGGAGGGCUCGCUGGAGAUUUGCUGGUACACUAGAUACAAGAAUGAUACUGGAUAUUUUUGAGAUUUGCUGGUAUGCUAGAUACAGGAAUGAUACUGGAUAUUUUUUCGUAAAAAUAGUUGCAUCCUCUUGAACAUGUAAUUUUUUAUUUUAAUUAUGAUAUGAUUAGUACCACAAUAACCUUUUAGAAGAUCUGAUUACUAGAAAUAUGGAAUUUCCUAGAAGAUAUUUCGAAAGGAGAGUUCAUGAAAACAAAAGUCAGUCCUUUUAUUUUCUGAAAAGCUCUCUUCAU
RNAcentral lists this long non-coding RNA (951 nucleotides) under Hordeum vulgare. RNAcentral's name for it is "long non-coding RNA (HVUL_LNC007917)". The record is from RNAcentral. Lineage: Eukaryota; Viridiplantae; Streptophyta; Magnoliopsida; Poales; Poaceae.